This 562-nucleotide ribosomal RNA is filed under the name uncultured bacterium. RNAcentral's name for it is "bacterial SSU rRNA". It matches the Rfam family "Bacterial small subunit ribosomal RNA", at positions 119 to 674 of the family's 1533-position model. The record is from RNAcentral.
AGGAAUCUGCCUAUUAGUGGGGGACAACAUCUCGAAAGGGAUGCUAAUACCGCAUACGUCCUACGGGAGAAAGCAGGGGAUCACUUGUGACCUUGCGCUAAUAGAUGAGCCUAAGUCGGAUUAGCUAGUUGGUGGGGUAAAGGCCUACCAAGGCGACGAUCUGUAGCGGGUCUGAGAGGAUGAUCCGCCACACUGGGACUGAGACACGGCCCAGACUCCUACGGGAGGCAGCAGUGGGGAAUAUUGGACAAUGGGGGGAACCCUGAUCCAGCCAUGCCGCGUGUGUGAAGAAGGCCUUAUGGUUGUAAAGCACUUUAAGCGAGGAGGAGGCUCUUUUGGUUACUACCCAGAAUGAGUGGACGUUACUCGCAGAAUAAGCACCGGCUAACUCUGUGCCAGCAGCCGCGGUAAUACAGAGGGUGCAAGCGUUAAUCGGAUUUACUGGGCGUAAAGCGCGCGUAGGCGGCCAAUUAAGUCAAAUGUGAAAUCCCCGAGCUUAACUUGGGAAUUGCAUUCGAUACUGGUUGGCUAGAGUGUGGGAGAGGAUGGUAGAAUUCCAGGU